AUCCUUUUGUAAUAUAUAAUCAUGAUGACUGAGUUUUCACACCAUUGUGCAAGAUGUACCUUCCUUGAACCUUGUUACAUUGGUGCUAAUGUACUCAUCUAGAGU
RNAcentral lists this small nucleolar RNA (105 nucleotides) under Tupaia belangeri chinensis (Chinese tree shrew). RNAcentral's name for it is "Tupaia chinensis (Chinese tree shrew) Small nucleolar RNA U13". It matches the Rfam family "Small nucleolar RNA U13". The record is from Rfam by way of RNAcentral. Lineage: Eukaryota; Metazoa; Chordata; Mammalia; Scandentia; Tupaiidae.